This 494-nucleotide ribosomal RNA is filed under the name uncultured bacterium. RNAcentral's name for it is "bacterial SSU rRNA". It matches the Rfam family "Bacterial small subunit ribosomal RNA", at positions 30 to 521 of the family's 1533-position model. The record is from RNAcentral.
AUUGAACGCUGGCGGAAUGCUUUACACAUGCAAGUCGAACGGUAGAGGGGGCAACCCCUUGAGAGUGGCGAACGGGUGAGUAAUAUAUCGGAACGUGCCCAGUCGUGGGGAUAACGUAGCGAAAGUUACGCUAAUACCGCAUACGAUCUAAGGAUGAAAGCGGGGGACUCGCAAGAGCCUCGCGCGAUUGGAACGGCCGAUAUCAGAUUAGGUAGUUGGUGGGGUAAAGGCUCACCAAGCCAACGAUCUGUAGCUGGUCUGAGAGGACGACCAGCCACACUGGAACUGAGACACGGUCCAGACUCCUACGGGAGGCAGCAGUGGGGAAUUUUGGACAAUGGACGCAAGUCUGAUCCAGCCAUUCCGCGUGCAGGAUGAAGGCCCUCGGGUUGUAAACUGCUUUUGUACGGACGAAAAGGUUUCUAUUAAUACUAGGAGCUCAUGACGGUACCGUAAGAAUAAGCACCGGCUAACUACGUGCCAGCAGCCGCGGU